UGAGCCGGGCGGUCAGCCGCUUGCCGACUUCGAGAGCGGCAAGAGGAAAGUCCGGGCAACGCAGAGCACCAUGGUUGUUAACGGCAACCUGCCGGCAACGGCAGAGCAGUGUGACAGAAAACAACCGCUGCCCCCGGGGCAGUAAGGGUGAAAAGGCGAGGUAAGAGCUCACCGGGCGGUAUGGCGACAUAUCGCGCCGCACACCUCAUGGGUUGCAAAGUCAAGUAUACCGGCAUUCAAGGGUUGCUCGCCCAUUGUCGGGGGGUAGACUGCUACCGAGGUCAUCACACAUGGCCCGACCAGAUGAUACGGCAACGUACAUCGUAGAUAAAUGGCUGACCGGCAUGCCCCGUCUCCGCUACGGCGAAGAUACCAGGCACGACCGACAUAACCCGGCUUAUAGCCCGGCUCACCCU
Non-coding RNA from Parabacteroides sp., 416 nucleotides. It matches the Rfam family "Bacterial RNase P class A". From Rfam's summary of the family: Ribonuclease P (RNase P) is a ubiquitous endoribonuclease, found in archaea, bacteria and eukarya as well as chloroplasts and mitochondria. Its best characterised activity is the generation of mature 5'-ends of tRNAs by cleaving the 5'-leader elements of precursor-tRNAs. Lineage: Bacteria; Pseudomonadati; Bacteroidota; Bacteroidia; Bacteroidales; Tannerellaceae. The record is from Rfam.